UUGUAGGGGCGCAGCCUGACGGAGCACACCGCGUGAAGGAUGACAGUCGUAAGAUUGUAAACUUCUUUUCUGAGGGAAGAAUUCUGACGGUACCUCAGGAAUAAGCAUCGGCUAACUACGUGCCAGCAGCCGCGGUAAGACGUAGGAUGCAAGCGUUAUCCGGAAUUAUUGGGCGUAAAGAGUUCGUAGGCUGUUUAUUAAGUUGGAUGUUAAAGCUUUGAGCUCAACUCAAACACGGUAUCCAAAACUAAUAAGCUAGAGACAGAUAGGGGCAAGUAGAAUUCUGCAUGUAGGGGUAAUAUCCGUAGAUAUGCAGAGGAAUACCAAAAGCGAAGGCAGCUUGCUGGAUCUGUUCUGACGCUCAAGAACGAAAGCGUGGGUAGCGAACGGGAUUAGAUACCCCGGUAGUCCACGCCCUAAACGAUGAACACUAGGUGUUGGAGGGCUCGACCCCUUCAGUGCCGACGCUAACGCAUUAAGUGUUCCGCCUGGGUAGUACGAACGCAAGUUUAAAACUCAAAGGAAUAGACGGGGACCCACACAAGCGGUGGAGCAUCUGGUUUAAUUCGACAGUAAGCGAGGAACCUUACCAGGACUUGACACCCCGAGAAGAUCGCCGAAAGGUGAUUGUGCCGUUAGGAACUCGGUGACAGGUGCUGCAUGGUUGUCGUCAGCUCGUGCCUUGAGGUGUUCGGUUAAGUCCGUGAACGAGCGCAACCCUUGUCUUAAGUUGCAUAUUUCUUAAGAGACUGCCGGUUCCAAAUCGGAGGAAGGUAAGGAUGACGUCGAAUCAGCAUGGCCCUUAUGUCCUGGGCGACACAGGUGCUACAUGGCCGGUACAAUGGGCUGCCAAGAGUAUCGGAGCUAUCCCAAAACGUCUAGUCGGAUGAGGGCUGCACUCGCCUCAUGAGUGAUCGCUAGUACCGCGUAUCAGCAUGGCGCGGUGAUUUGUUCUGGCUUGUACUCACCGCCGUCAGUCACGAAAGAUGGGGGUUGCCGAAGUACUUAGCCUA
Molecule: ribosomal RNA, 1013 nt
Filed under: uncultured bacterium
Lineage: Bacteria
Description: bacterial SSU rRNA
Rfam family: Bacterial small subunit ribosomal RNA
Source: RNAcentral